CAUGCACUGGGGGGAGUCCCUCAGCCUGGAUUGCGAGAGGCCGCAGGCCAGGCCAAAGGACCCCACUGGUGCAUG
RNAcentral lists this microRNA precursor (75 nucleotides) under Myotis davidii. RNAcentral's name for it is "mir-9193 microRNA precursor family". It matches the Rfam family "mir-9193 microRNA precursor family". Lineage: Eukaryota; Metazoa; Chordata; Mammalia; Chiroptera; Vespertilionidae. The record is from Rfam by way of RNAcentral.